GGCGGAGUGGUGGAACUGGUAGACGCGCCGGACUCAAAAUCCGGUCCUGGCAACAGGGUGGGGGUUCGAGUCCCCCCUCCGCUACCA
This 87-nucleotide transfer RNA is filed under the name Candidatus Omnitrophota bacterium. Its description in RNAcentral is "tRNA-Leu". It matches the Rfam family "tRNA". From Rfam's summary of the family: Transfer RNA (tRNA) molecules are approximately 80 nucleotides in length. Their secondary structure includes four short double-helical elements and three loops (D, anti-codon, and T loops). Further hydrogen bonds mediate the characteristic L-shaped molecular structure. tRNAs have two regions of fundamental functional importance: the anti-codon, which is responsible for specific mRNA codon recognition, and the 3' end, to which the tRNAs corresponding amino acid is attached (by aminoacyl-tRNA synthetases). tRNAs cope with the degeneracy of the genetic code in two manners: having more than one tRNA (with a specific anti-codon) for a particular amino acid; and 'wobble' base-pairing, i.e. permitting non-standard base-pairing at the 3rd anti-codon position. The record is from RNAcentral. Lineage: Bacteria; Pseudomonadati; Candidatus Omnitrophota.